Molecule: ribosomal RNA, 497 nt
Filed under: uncultured bacterium
Lineage: Bacteria
Description: partial 16S ribosomal RNA
Rfam family: Bacterial small subunit ribosomal RNA
Source: RNAcentral
GACGAACGCUGGCGGCGUGCCUAAUACAUGCAAGUUGAGCGCUGAAGGUUGGUACUUGUACCAACUGGAUGAGCAGCGAACGGGUGAGUAACGCGUGGGGAAUCUGCCUUUGAGCGGGGGACAACAUUUGGAAACGAAUGCUAAUACCGCAUAAAAACUUUAAACACAAGUUUUAAGUUUGAAAGAUGCAAUUGCAUCACUCAAAGAUGAUCCCGCGUUGUAUUAGCUAGUUGGUGAGGUAAAGGCUCACCAAGGCGAUGAUACAUAGCCGACCUGAGAGGGUGAUCGGCCACAUUGGGACUGAGACACGGCCCAAACUGCUACGGGAGGCAGCAGUAGGGAAUCUUGGGCAAUGGACGAAAGUCUGACCGAGAAACGCCGCGUGAGUGAAGAAGGUUGUCGGAUCGUAAAACUCUGUUGGUAGAGAAGAACGUUGGUGAGAGUGGAAAGCUCAUCAAGUGACGGUAACUACCCAGAAAGGGACGGCUAACUACGUG